This is an RNA transcript of Pygoscelis adeliae (Adelie penguin), 1964 nucleotides long. It is a transcript of the gene named Yip1 domain family, member 7, with no coding region annotated. The transcript has 8 exons. Lineage: Eukaryota; Metazoa; Chordata; Aves; Sphenisciformes; Spheniscidae. The record is from RefSeq and is a predicted model, not a curated record.
AAGCUCAUCCCUGUUGAAGCAUGAGGAUAUUUUAGGUGUUCUCCAACAUGUAAAUGCAACAGACUGGAGUUUUCAUCAAAUAUCUUAAAAAAAUGUCAAAUUUUGAGCAGUUUCACUUCGACUUUUACCAGUCCAAUUAUACCAUAGAUGACCAGGAAGAAGGUUACAACAGUUAUGGAUCUAAUGAAAACCUCUGUGGAAACAGAAAGAGCCAGACGGGAGAGCAACCUCCAGCCAGUGGUUUUGCCCCAUCGGAAAUGCUUCUGUCCUCUCAGAGUUACACGGGUCAGAUUUUGCAGCCAACGUACAGUCCCAACACUCUCUCUUAUCUUAGUUACACUGACGGAUUUGAUGAGGAACCUCCUUUGCUAGAAGAACUUGGGAUCAAUUUUGAGCAUAUAUGGCAAAAAACAUUAACAGUUCUAAAUCCAAUGAAGCCUGCGGAUGGCAGCAUUAUGAAUGAGACAGACCUUACCGGACCUAUGGUUUUCUGUUUGGCCCUUGGAGCAACAUUGCUGCUGGCAGGAAAAGUUCAUUUCGGCUAUGUGUAUGGCCUGAGUGCCAUUGGGUGCCUUGCUAUGCAUGCCCUCCUGAACCUGAUGAGCAUCCCAGGAGUCUCGCACGGCUGCGUUGCAAGUGUCUUGGGCUAUUGCCUGCUGCCCAUGGUGAUCUUGUCCUCUUCUGCAGUUGUCUUCUCGCUACACGCACCAGUCUGAUUAUUGAUUGGGUCCUGCUGCAAAGGAGGAGGCUCAGAUGAGUUGCUAAGGUCAGUUGCCAAGAAUACCCUGAAGUGCGGCAAGGAUCUCCACUAGAUCUUUCAAGUGACUAUGCUGAAGAUCUGUGCCUUUCUUUUAAUGCAGGACAAUCAGAGACCACUUAAAACCACAAAGUUCUGGAAAACAGUGCUUCUAAAGCACAUAUCACUCGCUGGGGCCUUAUUAUACUGAAGGUAACGUAAAACUGUAAACAGCAUAUGCUAAGCUUCUGUAUUGUACAACAAAUUCUGUGUUGUGUAUAGUCUUCUGUUUCAGAAAAUGGCUGCAAGAAGUUCAGCUGUAAUCAGCAAGGUAUAAAAUUCCUGCAGAUUCCAAAAAAUGAUGAACCCAACCCAAAAGUUGCCUGUACUCAAGACAAGGCAUCCCAUGGGGUCUUUCACAUUACAACUGGAACUUUAACACAUACAAAAAUCAGACACAUGCUUGAGUUUUGACAAUGAAGCUUGCACAUUCAAAACUUAGAUACUCCAAAUUUCCAUACAACCCUGGUGAGGCUAUCUAAGCAACUGUAGUCAUAAACAAAAGACUGGUAAACAUUAAUUCUGAUCCAGUAAGUACAUAAGUAUUUUGCACAAAAUAUAUUGGAAGAGAUCAAGAGACUUCCAUGUGAUAUAAUUUCUUAUUACGCUAUGGGAGACGUGGGUCUAAUCCAGGUAACGAACAGAACUGCCUCUGAGUUUCCCCCUCCCAUAUAACCAUUACAGGAUUGAGUAAAUAUGUGGCAUUACUAAUCCCAUGCUAAUACUCUGAGCACAGGUAAGUGACAAGUGGUUUUGGUAGCUAACAACCAUACUGAAUACUGAAUUCGGCUUAGCAUAAGGAACCGAAUGUUUCUCAGCAUUUAGGAACGGCUUGUUUAGCUUGCUGGCUUUCAUGAGUCUAUUUAUUGUGAGCAUAGAUGCCUAACUCUGAAUAUGGAUUCUGCUAAAAGUUAAAUACCACAGCUAUUAUGAUUAGUCCACCCCCUUCAUGUAUUCCCUCACCAGUUUUAGGGAAAACACUUCAUGUACCCCCAAUUACCACAGAAAAAAGUCAGACACACAUAUGAUCAGAGCAAUAAUGGAUUUCUUUUCCUUCUCCAAGCAGGAUCAACAGAAGGCCGCCCAACAGGUACCCCUAAACAGCUAGUUAAAUUAUACAUUUCUGCUUAUAUUCCCUUUUUCUCCCCUUUUUGCUUCCCAAGUUCUU